GCCCGUCUGUUUGCUAUGAGGUAAAAAUAGGGUUCUAUCUCCUUUCAGGGGGUAACCCUAUUUUCUGCUCAUCUGAAUAGCUUCAUUGUAUUGAUAGGAAGAUAUUUUGACCCAAAAGAUUUGAGAAAGAAGGAAAGGAAAUGCUUCGGUACCUGAUUGUGCAAUGCCACUGAAGAAAAAGAAGACUAAGAAUGUGAAAUUACUGUCGCAACAAAAGAUAAGGAGAACAUUGUUCACAACAAGGAACAGCUCAUCCAAGAAACCAGUGCUGUAAAUAACCAUCUGAUGUCCCCUUCUCAAGUAUCCCCCAAUUCUCAGGAAUGGCUCUGAGAGGGUGCAGUGGGGAGGAGGGGACGAGGAGAGUCCCCUUCUAUGAGCUUCCUUCUAACUGCAAUUGUUUGGACAACCCAUUAGUUUUGCUUUUGCUGUUUGCAGUUCACAAUUGUUAUGAUCCUGAAUCCAGGAUCUUUCCCCACCCCAACUGGGGGAUGAGACAAAGUGAGAAGACUCUACAAACCAGACACUAGGCAACCCCACACUGCUGGAGCCCCACAACAUGAGAACUGGGAGAACCAGAGUCAGCACCCCACCACAAAGCAAGGACAUGGCCCUGCCUCCAUCCUUGGACACAAAGGAGUCCCCCUUGAAAACCUGCCAGUCCAAGUAAAGGUCUUCCAAUGCCACCGCCAGCUAUUACAAAGUUAAGUACGGUUCCUAAACAGAACUUUCUCCAGGGAAGGGGUAGAGUCAAUCCACUCCACAUAGCCAGCAACUACAGAAAUUGACAGUCAGCUCUUAACAUCCACUGGAGCAACAUCCAUCUUUCUUUUUUGUAUCCACCUCUCUUACUCAGAGCUGUCCAGGGUUUGGACCCCCUUUUCCUCCUGUGCAUCCUUUGGAGCUGCAAAAAGCUCUGGUAUCUGGAUCUCUAACUCAGCUGUGGCCCCUGCUCAACCAUUGACCGCCACCUAGAACCAGAUAACUAGCUACAUGCUCUAGAGAAGUUGCAGCUUUCUCUGGAUUCCAGCCAUAGUGGCUUAUGGCAGAACACAAAAUUUCAUUAAAAACAUGAGGUUUUCGACCUCAUAUUUGCCUCCAAUGUGUGGGAGGGGUCAGGGGUAUUUUCAGGGAAGUAGCAGCAGUCUGGAGAAGGUGUUUAACUUUUCAUCCACCACCUCCUUUUUCUUCAGAAUAUCACCAGACUACUUUUUCUCCAAACUGACUUCAGAUCAAACAACACAGAACUCCCCUACAUAUCCCUGUGACUUCUACUCUGGGUUGUAGAAUGUGUGAUUCAUUUUGAAAAGCAACAGGGUACAUCGUUUUAAUAAUUGUCAGAGGAAAACUGAAAUACACAAACUGAAAAAACAAACAAACCCCCUCCCCGCCUCGUGUUGGAAAAACAAAGGUAAAAGAAUGGAUUUUGGUAUAGACAGCCACCCCCACCUGUUUUAAGAAUGUUUUGAAGAAGAGGAAAAAUGUUUGAGUUGAACAUGGUAAAGAGGAGGGAAUAUCCACAGUUUGCCUCCUAUCUCUCUCUGGUGGGGCUGUAUAUAAAUGACAGAUAUUUCUGUGUUAUUGCACUGUUUUAAAAUGUUGAUUGUGUAAACACUUUGCAAAGCAAUUUCACAUGUCUAUCAAGAUAUGGUCACCAGCAGAAGAAAGAAGUAUCUUAAGACACGCAAGCCUUAAAACAGCUACCCGAAAGACAAACAGUAACAAAAUCAGCAAGGGUAGAAAAGAUAGUUAGCAACCUUACAUCCUGCAUUGUGACGUCUCUGCAGUGCCUAAUAAUCCAUUGUGAAGCUCAGUUUAUAGCUUCUUUUCAUGUUUGACUGAAGUAAUCAUGAGGAGAAAGGCCUGCAGCAUUCAAUGGGGAAAAUCCUGAUCACUGUCAAUGGAUUGAAGAUUGUGGAUACAGUUGUUUGUUCUAUGGAACAGUUAUAGUAAGCACUGGCCGAUAGCAUAAUGCUGCAAACUCCCAGUGAUGUUAUGCUACUACAAGGCUGCUGCAUUAGCUACUUGUUCUAAGUCUGGAGCUUGAGUUCUAGAUUAGUGUCACACAACUGUUGCAUUAGUUGCACAUCUGUCACAGAGGUCUAAGCAAGCUUGUGGUAGUGAAACAUUAGAGCAACCUGCAGCACGCCUCAUUUGUUUUAAAGGGUACUUUUGUUCCUUGGUGCAAUUUUUAAAACCCCUGUGCCUUCAUGCAACUAUGCAAUUUCCUUGCAUUACAGCAACUUUGCUCCUUGCACAAGGCAGAGUUAGUCAGUCUGCAAUGCAAGUGUUUUCUUUAAAAUAUCUAGAAACUGGCUUGAACAAAAAGAAAAAUGCAGUGCUUACUAAACAAAGAGAUUUGCAGUGCUUACUAAAUUUAUACACUAGAAUGGCAUUGGAAAUCACUGUCUCGCCAGCAAAGCUGUUGAGCUGCUGCAUGUCAGACCGCUGUUAAAGAACACUAAUGGUCACUAAACAGGUUGGCAACCCUAUGACAUGGUCUAUUAUUAGAAAGUUAUUAAUUGUGCACUGUAAUUCUGUCUGCCGCUUACGCUAUUGUGAGGGUGGCAGUAACAGUGGAAGAAAUCUUCAUUUGGCAUUAGGAGCCUGCAGGACAUUUUGGAGCGGGGUGGAGUUUGGUAUGCCAUGUGUUUUUGUUCCUUAAGCCCCUGCUCAUUUUUAAUUUGUUCUGGUAACAAAUGUCCAUGACCCAUUUUUCUUCCCACAUUUGUUUUCAUGAUGAAGCCGGUGGUGGGGGACCAUACAAGGUAAGGUUUUUAUGGCCCCCUCCCUUACCUUGGACAGGGCACACCAGAAGGCUUCUUGUCUUUUGUUUAAAAGCAGCUUAAAGACACACACGCACAAAAAGUAAACCUCUUUGCCCCACCACAAGAUGAGCACGCCUUCACACAUGCACACACAAACACAAAAGUGGGAGAAUGAAAAUGGGGGGGGGAUUUAUAAUGAAAGAAAUGUAAAUUCAACAAAUAAAUGACAAAAUGAAUGGAGCUGAAACAAAUAUAAAGGGAACAUCAGAGUUCUUUCUGCCAGCUAUAAAUUUAUUUUCCCACAGUGUCCUGAACGUUUUGCUUGUCUGCGGCAUUGCUGGAACAAAUGGAAGUCACCCCAGAACAGGCAGGGUUGGCAGUUGCCUUCAAGGCCAACAGAAUUAUGGAGAUCUGGGGGACUGUGUGUGUGAGAGAAAAAUUGACAGCAUCUACCAAGAGGCAGCAUCUGGGAGAAGCUCUAUGCUCUUCUAACACUUUAAAAAUAAUUUAAAGAAAAGAAGAAAAUGCCCGCCUAUUGGGCACACUAUCACAGCAAUAUUUGACCGUGAAGAUUCCAGGAACAUCUGUGAGUCUGGCACAGGAGGUGGAGAUGAAAGCAUUACUUUGUCUAUCCCCUGUUCCUCAAGUUACAAACCCCAUACACUUUUAUUACCUUGGCAAUAUUAUAUUUUUACUGUCUUCCUCAUAGGGCUUCUGCUGCUGGCACCAGGUGGAAUCCCCCUCCCUCAUGGCUCAAACAUCUUUAAAGGUCUCAUAGUCAGCCUGUGUGGACAAUACAUGAGGGGGUGCUCAUCAAAUGGCCUCUCUACAUAUGCUCCAAAUAGUUAUUUAAAGGAAUAUUGGGAAUACAUGUAGAAGGAUGAUAGAGAUGAAUAGCCCUCUCAUGCAAUUAGGAGAUUCCCCAAUAAUGCAUUGGGUUGAUAUCUGGUGAUGUCAGGGCAGGUGUGUCCUGACAUCACCCCAUCUUGAAUGCAUGUUGUGGCUGGCAUCUCAUCCAAACUGGCCCAAAACAUUGGAAUCCAUUAUUGUUCCAGAGGUACAUUUCUGAAAUUUUACUAUCUGGGUGUGGGGGGGGGGGGGCGGCAGGAUUCCUGCUUCUUUGCUGGAAUCUUUUACACCAAAAGUAAAUGUAAAAGUGAAACUCCCCCACAAAGUAAUUCCAAUGCAUUUUUAAAAAGAUUGUACAAUGCUGCAGAGAUGAAAUUGAGCACAUGUGACUUUAAAAAAUGAAAUGUUAUUUUAAUUCAAUUUAAAACUCUAUGUUGACUAAAGGGUACCAUUUCACAGUUAUUGAGGAAAGAAUUAAAGAAACUAAACUGCUUUUGGAUAUAUUCAAGUUUACACUGCAAAAAACAGGGCAUUUUAAAGUGUUAUGGGUACUUUAAAAAAAAUCAGUGCGGUGAUUAUCACGAUUGCCAAAAAGUGGAAUAAGGGAGACUAGCCUGCUUUCUGGCGACCGUGAGAACCACAGGGCUCGCAGGCGAGCCCAGUUGCUGUAAAGCAGGUUACCCGCUUAUAGAUCCCUCCCUUAAGCCCAGGUUAGCAGAGUGAGUGCUCCACUAACCUGGCCUCUGCUCCGCACCACAGCAACUCACGGGAGGAGUCCCUCAACUGGGAGACUAAAAAGCAGCCUCCCGGCUCGGGAGUCUCUCCAGCAUGCUCUGUGCACUCGCACAGAUCAUUCUGGAACUUCCAGGGCCCGCGCGGGCCCCGAUCCCCGCAGCCCCCGCCAGCUCCGUGAUGGAACCAGCAGUUGUGUGGGCGGCUGAUCUGGCUGCCCAAGGCUGCAGCCUGCUCGUGUGCGAGGAGAGCAGGCUAGGCCCGCUUUCCCCGCUAACCCUCUCGAGGCGGGUCUCACUGAUCUUGAGACCUGCCUCAUUGUAUACUAAAGGGUGCCUCUGCUUUGACUACUAUGGUGUUAAACCACUGCUUUUCCAUCUGUACUUAUACUGGACCUACAGGGAAGCAAAAUGUGUAUUAGCAAUGAAGAAUUGUGAAUUUCAGAUUAUCUCUUCACUUAAUAUCUCAUUUAUGUAAUCUGUGGCCAUCAAGGUUUUGACUGAGUCUUCACAACCAUGAAAGAGGAAACUUUAAAAUAAAACUGAGCCAUUUUGACUGCCAGGCAAAUAUCUUAUAUAUCUUAUUUCCUGCCUUAUUAAGUAUACUUUUCUUACACAGUGGCUAAUAAUUACAAGUAAAGUAAAAUAAAAAAUAUGCAAACAUCACAUAGCUCAAACAUAACAAAACUAGGCUCCAGUUUUGGACUGGAGCUGGGACUAGGCUGGGGCAUGGACAAUUCUUCCAAGGAUGGAUUCUCAGGGGAAAAUAUUUUCUGGAUUAUGUCAAAGGCCUUAAAGUUGCAAGAGAUAGAUAGAUAUAUAGGGGGCCAACUGCAAGUAAGGUUGUUACCAUGGAAAUAAAACUGAGGUGCUGGUGGGAAGGAUGAGAGAAAAAUCCUGUGACAAACCAGACUGAGUAACCAGAGGAACAUGCUGAUGGUUCAGAAAUAACAAUCAAGAUAACAACAUCAGGAAUAGAGGAGGCCAGGCCUGAAAGGUGAUAAGCCGGUCAGGAGGCCUCUCCUCCACCACAUAUCUAAGUUCCAUGCAGAGACUUGACUUGAUGGCUGCUCAAUUCACAACAUUCUUCUGCCUCAAAAAGGCUUAUAUUUCCCUCUCAAUAUAAUUUAGGGUAAUCCCACAUUCCUAGGGCUGUAUAGUAAUAUUAGAGUUUCUGGAGAAUAAAGCAAGAAGAAGAAGAAAAUUAAAAGGUGUGGGCGGUGGGGGCAAGGUGAUUUUGUGAAUGAAUUGCCGUGUUUCCCCGAAAGUAGCUGCAUCUAUGGGCCUCUCCCAUUUUAUUGAUUUAUUUUUCUACUAGCU
Molecule: long non-coding RNA, 5665 nt
Organism: Hemicordylus capensis (graceful crag lizard)
Lineage: Eukaryota; Metazoa; Chordata; Lepidosauria; Squamata; Cordylidae
Exons: 4
Source: RefSeq, a predicted model, not a curated record